AUGGGGGAGCAGACCGCCAAUCUCACCGCGCUCAUGGAGACGCUGCUCUCCCGCUUCGACGAAGAGAAGGUGCUCGCCGACAAGCGCGCGGAGGCGCAAACGGCCUUCAACAACCAAGUCUCCCAAGAGCUCCAGAGCCCGACGAAGCAGAUUGGGCUCACCCAGGCGGACGUGGAUGACGUGCGCAAGGUCACGUCCCCUUCGACGUCGUCGGCUCCGUCAUCGGGGUCGCAGGUGGAGGAUCCAUCGGCGGCGGUGCUCCACACCCCCGGAGUGCGGGUGGGGUCGCAGCAACAACCACCCCCGCCUCCUCCGCCCGAUCUGCACACGGUGCCUCCUCCGCCCGAUCCGCGUGCAGCGCCUCCUCCGAGCGCGCUACCUUUUACGUGGACCAUCACGGGACAAGCUUCGACUGCGCGCCUCACCAACGACGGGCCACCCCUACUCGCAAGGCCCGACGGACCACGGGCGCCGUCGGAGCGUGCACCUCCGCCCGUUCUGCACGAGGAGUACGCGGUCAGGCCGCCCAAGCAUCAGUUUCUCCGUUUUGAUGGCGAGGCUCCGCGUGUCUGGUUGGAUCGCUGCUUGGCAUAUUUUGAGCUGUACCGCGUGCCGUUACACAACUGGGUGGCCACGGCGGCUCUAUACGUCGACGACCAUGCUGCUCUCUGGCUUCGGGCGUUCCGUCAGACCCAUGGCGAGCUCAUGUGGGACCUGUUCCGCCAAGCUGUAGUAGAGGAGUUCGGCCCUGAAGAAUUUGAGUCCCUGAUGCACAAACUACUUCAACUUCGUCAGACAGGCAGUGUCGUCGAGUACAGGCAACAAUUUGAAGUCUAUAUGUACAAUUUGUUGGCAUUGGACGCCACCCUUAGUCCCAAAUUCUUCGUCACCCAAUUCCUGCUGGGUCUCAAAGAUGAACUGCGCACCGCAGUGCGCAUUCAAGCUCCGUCCAGCAUCACUCGCGCCACGGUCUUCGCCAGGAUUCAGGAGGAGGAACUGGAACAACAACGCCCCCGUGUCCGUCAGACUGUCACCGGUCGUCCACCACCUGUGCCUGGCCGACCGCCUCCCUCGGUUGGUCCGACAACGCCGGGGGUGCCGGCCACGCGUCCAGCUCUGGCCACUGCGGGUGCCGAUGAUUUUGGCCGGGAACGUCAGCUCCGGGAUUACCGACGCCAGCAUGGCCUAUGCUUUCGCUGUGGCGACAAAUAUUCCAAGGAGCAUCAGUGCAAACGCUCGGCGCAACUUCUGACGAUCGAAGUGGGUGAACAUGCAGAAGUGCUCUCUGAUGAUGCCGUUCGUGCUCUGGAAUUGCUGGAUGAACCGGUCCCAGCGAUGGAAGCAGCUUGCUGUUUACUAUCGGCACAUGCAGUGCAAGGCACUGAAGCUCCAGAAACAAUGCGCCUGCGUGCAACAGUGGGCACUCAGACCAUGCUGUUGCUGGUGGAUUCAGGCAGCACACAUAGCUUUGUCAAUUCAUCCUUCGCUGCCAGAAUUCAAGCCAAGCCUACUAGCAUUCCUGCUAUUGCUGUUCGCGUGGCCAACGGUCAGCGCUUACAAUGCACGUCCAUGGUUCCAAACCUCACUUGGAGCACACCAGGUCAUGAGUUCAGCACAGACAUGCGAGUGCUCGAGUUGGGUGUCUAUGAUGCAGUACUGGGAGUGGACUGGUUAGCUGUACAUAGCCCCAUGCAGUGUGACUGGAGUCUGAAGACCAUGAACUUCCAAAGGCACGGGCACACCAUCCAGCUGACAGGCGUUCGGACAGAAGAAACAGCAGCAUUAUCGGUCAUGGACGCAGCCACCUUAUGGCAGAUGCAGGAAGCCAAUGAGAUUUUGGGGGCGGCCCUGCUUGAAAUUCAGACGACACCAACUACAGGUUCAGAGUCGGAGGCGCCACUUCCUGCAAUUAUUCAGAAAGUGCUCACAGAUUUCAGUGAUGUCUUUGAGGAACCAACAUGA
RNAcentral lists this ribosomal RNA (1962 nucleotides) under Triticum aestivum (bread wheat). RNAcentral's name for it is "partial small subunit ribosomal RNA". Lineage: Eukaryota; Viridiplantae; Streptophyta; Magnoliopsida; Poales; Poaceae. The record is from RNAcentral.